Cerioporus squamosus is the source of this 81-nucleotide non-coding RNA. NCBI's taxonomy places the organism in Eukaryota, Fungi, Basidiomycota, Agaricomycetes, Polyporales, Polyporaceae. The record is from the annotation of a GenBank genome assembly.
GGCCUUAUAGCUCAGUGGUAGAGCACAGGAUUGCAGUUCGUACUUCUCCUGGGGUCUCGUGUUCAAGUCACGAUGGGGCCU